This 253-nucleotide ribosomal RNA is filed under the name uncultured bacterium. RNAcentral's name for it is "partial 16S ribosomal RNA". It matches the Rfam family "Bacterial small subunit ribosomal RNA", at positions 524 to 776 of the family's 1533-position model. The record is from RNAcentral.
UACGUAGGGUGCAAGCGUUAUCCGGAAUUAUUGGGCGUAAAGAGCUCGUAGGCGGUCUGUCACGUCGGCUGUGAAAUCCCGAGGCUCAACCUCGGGUCUGCAGUCGAUACGGGCAAACUAGAGUAUUGCAGGGGAGACUGGAAUUCCUGGUGUAGCGGUGAAAUGCGCAGAUAUCAGGAGGAACACCGGUGGCGAAGGCGGGUCUCUGGGCAAUAACUGACGCUGAGGAGCGAAAGCGUGGGGAGCGAACAGG